This is an RNA transcript of Bacillus rossius redtenbacheri, 4654 nucleotides long. RefSeq lists it as uncharacterized. The transcript is spliced from 2 exons. NCBI's taxonomy places the organism in Eukaryota, Metazoa, Arthropoda, Insecta, Phasmatodea, Bacillidae. The record is from RefSeq and is a predicted model, not a curated record.
AUUUUGACGUCGUCCGGGCCUGCGGCCCCUUUGAGCCCGAUAUGACACCGCCCAACCACCGUUUCAGUUCAAACCUCCCGCUCGUGCGUGCGUGUGUGCGUGUGUGUCUAGCCCGGCAAGAGGGCGCUUAGCUGCAGUGCACCGCACCCCUAAUUUGCUACGUUUUAAUAUUAUUUGUAAACCCUUUUUGUUUUCAUUCGUCUUUGCCCCAGUGUUGUGCAAUUUACUUGUGUUUUCUGUAAUUUAAAUAGGUUACCUUAAAUAACUAUAGACGUUGCCCGGGCGGACCCGAACAGGCACGGACUUGGACGAGGAUAGGAAUGCUUUUAUAUGAAUUAUCAUUAAAUAAGUAAAUAGUAACAAACUUUCCAUUGUCAGUAAUUUUUAUAUAUUUUUAAUGUUUAUCUGUAAUUUACUCAACUUUCGCCGGGGCACGGAGUCGUAGAAUACAGUAACGGUAAUUGUGUUGGCGCGAAGGGCGCCAUGUUGCCACCUGCGAGCGAUGAGCUCAGCCCAGUCCAUCUUCAUCACUGACCGAGAGCAGACGCGCCAGCACCCCGGGGACUUCAACCUUUGUUCUGCACUGACCAAGUAAUUCUGUCUCGUUAAGUAUUUCUGAAUCUCUUUCGCUCGUCAUCCUCGGGGCAGCUCUCGGCCAGCGGGCUGUUUAAUUAAUUAAUUGUCUCAGUCGAGUUUUUUCAUCACCGUGUAAUAAGUAUACUUUGCAGCAUGGCCACGUGUGUGGACCAUGCCCUCACCUAAACCGAUUCGUGCCUCAGGCUUUUUAACCGUGUAAUGUGUAACGUGUAACGGGCGUGUAGAGAGACGUGUUAGUGAAAUUAAAUCUGGAGAAUAAAUAUAAAGUGAGUACUUAUUUAAUCACGUGGUGAGUGAGUCUAGGAGUGUGGCGUGCCCGACGCCUAGAGCGGGCCAGGUCUGGGUAGCUAGGAUAGAAAGGGCUGGUAACUCGUCCCCACUUGGGCUACGUCACGCCCUGAGUGAGAGACUCCGCCGGGUCCACGUGCCCUUCCACGUGGUGGCGCCCAUAGUUAACAUCUCGAAAUCACCGGCAAUGCGCGAUCAGCCCGCAAAUGGCGCCCAAGAGCGUGGGGCGAGUUACAUCUUCCGCGAAAACCAGACCUGUACGAGCGUGUGAGAUAGGCGGUUGUUACGCGGAGCGCGCGGAACUAAAGUUCGCGCUGGAACUAUUGUUCGCGCGGAGCGCAUAGCGGGACUCUGGCGCGCCAGCCACGUGAUCAGCCAAGCGCACGCUUCCAGGAAUCCGCGCACAAACAACGGACUCCGAGCGCAGUAAGUAACACAGUGCUGAUGUGUUCGUGAGGACUGUUCGCGUGUAGAGUACCACGUGCGUAGACAUGUAUCCGUAUCCGGACGAGUGUAUCGGGUGUUACUUUCCCUGCCCGAGUUGGGACUUGUAUGGCAGGACCGCCGCCGGAUAUGAGUGUGGCUACUGUACGGAGUACCGCAUACACGGCGUGACGAAGUGUGGAGCGAGGUCGUGUCCCGGAGGUAGUAGCGAGGGCUACCGCUGCCAGGAAUGUGCCGGCCUGUGGCAUCGUGGCUGUAUCGGCGAGCGUGAAUGGACAAUACUGCGCAAGUUUUUUACCUUCACGUGCGCACGAUGCACUGCCGACCUAGCCACCCAGGCGCAGUACGAGGCAGAGACGCCGAAAAAGACGCCGCUCACGUCGACGCCAACGCCGCUCACGCCGACGACGCCAACCACACCGAAAAAGACGCCGCUCACGCCGACGACGCCAACCACACCGAAAAAGACGCCGCUCACGCCGACGCCAACCACGCCGAAAAAGACGCCGCUCACUCAGACGCCAACGCCGCUCACGCCGACGACGCCGAUCACGCCGACGCCUCUCACGCCGAAGCCAACCACGCCGAAAACGCCGACGCAGCCCGUGCCAAGGACGCCGCCCGUUGCCGGAACGUCACCGCCGCACCAAGCCGACUCCUCACGCACGACGCCGACUCCAGCACCACGAAGGUACGUCCUGACGUCACCCGCACCGCCACGUGUUACGUUACCGACGCCUACCGCUCUGACAAAGACGCCCGUCGUCCUGACGCCCACGCCCGUCGUCCCGACGCCGACGCCCGCCGUCCCGACACCCGCCGUGCCGACGCUCAUCGACUUGACGUCUCCCGACACAAGUCCGAUCCCGCCGCCGCCUGCCACACUGCGUUUCGUCGACCCGACGCCACUUAUCCCGACGCCGACGCUCGCCGUCCCGACGCCGACAAUUCCGCUUCCGCCACCUCCUGUCCUGGAGCCGCCAACCUCGGCACCUCUCGUCGACCUGACGUCUCCCGACGCUGGUCCAAACGCAUCAUCGCCAGCAAGACCUCGUUUCGCCGACCUGACGCCACUCAUCCCGACUAUGAUGACGCUUGACUCGCCGAAGCCAACCGAGCGACGCCCGACAACGACCGUCCCACCGCAGUCUGCCACGCCGUCCAGCACCCGCCUCGUGUCGGAGACACCUCCCGACGCCGGAAUGACCUCGCCACCGCACCGAACCGCCGUCCCGACGCCACCAAGGUCAUUUCCGGCGAAACCCGCAUCGUCUCCGCCACACGACUCGCCACGGACGCCACCAGACUCGACGCCGACGCUUCGUGUCACCCUGUCGCCACCACCUGGCUUCGACGUCAUCAUGCCGUCGUCACCGCCACCAGAGUGCGCAGUAGCAAACAGGACGCUUUGCGACACGAUGUCCAGGGCCCUGACGCCGAGACGCCUGAGCGCCGCCCCGCCGCCUGGGUUCGCUCCUCUGUGCCCGCCCGGAUUCGCCCCGCUGUGCCCGCCUGGCUUCGAAGCACAGCCAGUUGAUCAUGCCCGAGUGAGACAGACGCGCGCGACGCCGACACUGACGCCGCCUCCAUGCCCACCUGACGCGACGCCCGGAACGACCGAGACGCCACGACGCCCGAUUCCGACGCCGAUCGCCGCAGUACCGGAACACCGGUCAAGUGCCCUGCCGCACGAGACGCCACCCAAAUGUCGCAAGUUGGCAACAUUGGGACGCCGCACCGUGAAGAAUCGCCUGAGCUCCCUGCGUCCGCCUGUCGCGAUGCAGGUCGACGCCACGACGCCGGGACGCCCGACCGUCCCACCACCGAACGUGACCACCACCCGGACUUCGACACCUGUCACCCGUCUGUCACGACGGGCCGCGAAGCGCCCGCCUGUCGGCGAGGCUGAGCCGGGCCGUGCCGAGCGCCGCCCGCGCUUGCUGCCCGCCUGCCACGAGCCGCCUGACCUUGGCCGCCGCCGCCCCUGCCGGCCGGCGCCCUGGCCACCGCCACGCUAUCACACGCAGCAGCCGCCGCAGCCGCAGCUGACGCAGAUUUGGGGCUCGGGACAACUGGUGGGUCACCACCCACAAGGUUAGUCAGCCAGCGCCCAUUCUGUCCGUGUGUAUCGUCCUCCAUAGUGUAAAUAUUGCUCAACUGUCAUUUUGUAAACAUUGCUCGCCGCCAUCAUGUAAACAUUGCUCGCCCUUCCAUCGUGUAAACAUUGCUUGUCCGUCCGUCAUGUCAACAUUGCCACCUGCCCGCACAAACAUAAACAUCAACAUUGCCACGUGGGAGUGCGCGACGUAAACACCACAGGCAACGCCCCCCAACCAUCUGUCAAACGGCGCUGUCAUAUCGGCCUACUUUCGGAGGGGGCAAUUGACGUCGUCCGGGCCUGCGGCCCCUUUGAGCCCGAUAUGACACCGCCCAACCACCGUUUCAGUUCAAACCUCCCGCUCGUGCGUGCGUGUGUGCGUGUGUGUCUAGCCCGGCAAGAGGGCGCUUAGCUGCAGUGCACCGCACCCCUAAUUUGCUACGUUUUAAUAUUAUUUGUAAACCCUUUUUGUUUUCAUUCGUCUUUGCCCCAGUGUUGUGCAAUUUACUUGUGUUUUCUGUAAUUUAAAUAGGUUACCUUAAAUAACUAUAGACGUUGCCCGGGCGGACCCGAACAGGCACGGACUUGGACGAGGAUAGGAAUGCUUUUAUAUGAAUUAUCAUUAAAUAAGUAAAUAGUAACAAACUUUCCAUUGUCAGUAAUUUUUAUAUAUUUUUAAUGUUUAUCUGUAAUUUACUCAACUUUCGCCGGGGCACGGAGUCGUAGAAUACAGUAACGGUAAUUGUGUUGGCGCGAAGGGCGCCAUGUUGCCACCUGCGAGCGAUGAGCUCAGCCCAGUCCAUCUUCAUCACUGACCGAGAGCAGACGCGCCAGCACCCCGGGGACUUCAACCUUUGUUCUGCACUGACCAAGUAAUUCUGUCUCGUUAAGUAUUUCUGAAUCUCUUUCGCUCGUCAUCCUCGGGGCAGCUCUCGGCCAGCGGGCUGUUUAAUUAAUUAAUUGUCUCAGUCGAGUUUUUUCAUCACCGUGUAAUAAGUAUACUUUGCAGCAUGGCCACGUGUGUGGACCAUGCCCUCACCUAAACCGAUUCGUGCCUCAGGCUUUUUAACCGUGUAAUGUGUAACGUGUAACGGGCGUGUAGAGAGACGUGUUAGUGAAAUUAAAUCUGGAGAAUAAAUAUAAAGCCCAAGUACCGCUACCCGUACUACGACGAGCACGGCAGGGGCAAGCUGCUGUACGGCUACGGCGGGCCCCAGCUCUACAAGU